This 805-nucleotide small RNA is filed under the name Pongo abelii (Sumatran orangutan). RNAcentral describes it as "processed transcript". The record is from RNAcentral. Lineage: Eukaryota; Metazoa; Chordata; Mammalia; Primates; Hominidae.
CAUUUUGAAAGCUAUGGAGGGAUGCCCUUUUUCCAGGCUCAGAAGAUGUUUGUUGAUGUACCAGAAAAUACAGUGAUACUGGAUGAGAUGACCCUUCGGCACAUGGUUCAGGAUUGCACUGCUGUAAAAACUCAGUUACUCAAACUGAAACGUCUCCUGCAUCAGCAUGAUGGAAGUGGUUCAUUGCAUGAUAUUCAACUGUCGUUGCCAUCCAGUCCGGAACCAGAAGAUGGUGAUAAAGUAUAUAAGAAUGAAGAUUUAUUAAAUGAAAUAAAACAACUUAAAGAGGAAAUAAAGAAAAAAGAUGAAAAGAUCCAACUAUUAGAACUUCAGCUUGCAACUCAGCAUAUCUGCCACCAAAAAUGUAAAGAGGAAAAAUGCACUUAUGCUGAUAAAUAUACCCAAACACCCUGGAGACGAAUUCCUGGUGGGUAUUCUGCUCCCUCCUUCUCUCCUUGGCAGGGCUCCUUCCAGGGGAUCCCACGGACUGUUCCACCGCACCGCAGACAGAGAGUUGAGAAGUUAGUCCAUUACUUCUCUGACAAAGCGUGCCUCAAGUACUACAGCCUUCCAGCAGCCUUCCCAGACCCACAGACCACACCCAGGGAAAACUAAUAAAGCCACAACGUAUCGAGGCCCGCAGUGAAUGCGCAAUCCAAGACAUGCAUCAGGGCAUUGCACAUCCAGAAGAAAGCUUUACACACGUCUUGCAACAAGAAAGCAACUAUGGUUUGGAAGAGCAGCCUUUUUCAUCAGGCCCACAAUUAACAAUGGAUGUGGCUAAGAGUACACCUUCUGAAGCAAA